This 425-nucleotide ribosomal RNA is filed under the name uncultured prokaryote. RNAcentral describes it as "bacterial SSU rRNA". It matches the Rfam family "Bacterial small subunit ribosomal RNA", at positions 355 to 796 of the family's 1533-position model. The record is from RNAcentral.
UAACGAAUAUUCCGCAAUGCACGAAAGUGUGACGGAGCAAUACCGCGUGAAGGAUGAAGCCCCUAGGGGUGUAAACUUCUGUCAGAGUUCACUAACACAAUGAAGAGACUCAAAGGAAGGGCCGGCUAACUUCGUGCCAGCAGCCGCGGUAAUACGAAGGGCCCAAGCGUUGCGCGGAAUCACUGGGCUUAAAGGGUGCGCAGGCGGAUGGGUAAGUAUCGAGUGAAAUCCCACGGCUUAACCGUGGAAUGGCUUGGUAAACUACCUGUCUUGAGCCCGACAGAGGCUGUCAGAACGAUAGGUGGAGCGGUGAAAUGCGUAGAUAUCUAUCGGAAUGCCGAAGGUGAAGACAGGCAGCUGGGUCGGUGCUGACGCUCAGGCACGAAAGCAUGGGUAGCGAACGGGAUUAGAUACCCCCGUAGUCC